ACUUAAAGGAAUUGGCGGGGGAGCACCACAACGGGUGGAGCCUGCGGUUUAAUCGGACUCAACGCCGGGAAACUCACCAGUUAAGACAGCUGAAUGAUAGUCGGGCUGAAGACUCUACUUGACUAGCUGAGAGGAGGUGCAUGGCCGUCGUCAGUUCGUACUGUGAAGCAUCCUGUUAAGUCAGGCAACGAGCGAGACCCACGCCAACAGUUGCUAGCUCGUCCUCCGGGAUGGAGAGGACACUGUUGGGACCGCCUCUGCUAAAGAGGAGGAAGGAAUGGGCAACGGUAGGUCAGCAUGCCCCGAAUUAACUGGGCUACACGCGGGCUACAAUGGGUGGGACAAUGGGUAUCGACACCGAAAGGUGAAGGCAAUCUCCUAAACCCAUCCUUAGUUCGG
Molecule: ribosomal RNA, 399 nt
Filed under: uncultured archaeon
Lineage: Archaea
Description: bacterial SSU rRNA
Rfam family: Archaeal small subunit ribosomal RNA
Source: RNAcentral